This 200-nucleotide small RNA is filed under the name Streptomyces albireticuli. RNAcentral's name for it is "c-di-AMP sequence". It matches the Rfam family "c-di-AMP riboswitch aptamer (ydaO/yuaA leader)". From Rfam's summary of the family: This family represents a conserved RNA structure found upstream of the ydaO and yuaA genes in Bacillus subtilis and related genes in other bacteria. The ydaO/yuaA element is thought to act as a genetic "off" switch for the ydaO and yuaA genes in its native state. It is believed that the element may be triggered during osmotic shock leading to activation of ydaO, a predicted amino acid transporter gene, and members of the yuaA-yubG operon which code for KtrA and KtrB K+ transporters. Lineage: Bacteria; Bacillati; Actinomycetota; Actinomycetes; Kitasatosporales; Streptomycetaceae. The record is from RNAcentral.
UCCAGGCGGACGCCGAACCCCGCCGCUGUCUGGAUGCCGGGUCGACCGAACGCAUCGGUGGGGAUGGAGGACCCAAGCACGGUGGGACGACCAAGAGUAGUGCGGUCGGCCCUUGGGGUGAAGCCGUUGACACGGCCGGGCAACCUUCGCCUGCCCGAACCCGACAGGUCAUCCUUCACAGGCGGCUGACGAAGGGUUGG